Long non-coding RNA from Brienomyrus brachyistius, 1968 nucleotides. RefSeq lists it as uncharacterized. The transcript has 2 exons. The record is from RefSeq and is a predicted model, not a curated record. Lineage: Eukaryota; Metazoa; Chordata; Actinopteri; Osteoglossiformes; Mormyridae.
CAUUGCGAUCGCUCCGGGAGCAAGCGAGUCGAACUACAGUGAAUCGGCGCCACCAGGCGACCAAUGCAGCGCAACACUUCAGCUGCCAUUACUACGGACAUCGCUUCCGAUGGAAAUGGGAGUGUGCUAGGUGCCACAAGCGCUGUGUGUGGAGACAGAGCUCCCAGGAUGACAUGAUGCCAGCUCUACCCAAGACUGGGCAGCUGCACGUCGAAUGUCAAUCCUCAGUGUGUCAUCAGUCCCGGAUUCCCCAUCCUAUAUAAGGACCGCAAAUGCUACUAUGGAUGUACCUUGGUACCCGUGCUGGUUUUGCUUUCACUUGUGGUUUAUGCCUUGCUCUGUUCUGAUUAUCUGUGUAUGACACUGAUUUGUUUCUGGUUACUGAUUUUUGCCCUACCUCUGGUUUUGGUUGUCUACCUUUUUCAUUUGCCGUUUUCUGUGUACUUAUUAUUGACUAUGAUUAAGCUCAGUCACUGCAUGGUUUUGGUGUUUGUGAGUAUGUGCCGUGACAUAUGUAUUGAAUAAGGAGUGACUGCCAUUUUCUUUGAUUCUUUGUGUAUGUUUAGCUAGGGAGAUAGCAUUAGGUCAUUGUCUUUUGAUUCAUAUUCCUUUACAGGUAAAUUAGUAGUUUGCAGGUAAGUAGUUGCUGUUCAAAUCCUUUGAAUGCCAGGAGUGAUCUUACUCCAUUGGUCCCUUGAGCAAGGCCCCUAACCUGCAAUUGCUUCAUCCUGGGUAUAACAUUAAUCUACAUCCAGACCUGUAAGGAGGUCCUCCAGCUUACAGGGAAAUUUGGGGGAUGGUGGCAGAAUUGGCACGUCAGCCGGCGGAAAAAACUUACAAUGGUUCAUUUGGACUAGUGUGGUGCUGAGGUAUCACACUAGAGCUGAGACAAGUAUUCGAUGUAAUCGACGAUGUCGAUUUAUAAAAAUGCGUCAAUGUGGAAUUUUAGCGUCGACGCGUUGUGUAAAACUUUGUAAAUGUUUUAUAACUACAAUGCUUAAGCUAAACGUAUUGUAAGGGUGCACGUUAAGGCUUUCCUUUUAAGAAUCGCGCAAUAAAACAGUCUGUUAAUAACUGAAAUUUACUGUCCACCUGAUGAUCUCUUCGCCAUUCAAGAGCUACAAUAUUUUAUUUAUUGGACCUACGGCAUGGUAUUUAUUUCCAAUACAGAGUUAUUCCGCUAAUAAGCUGGCUAGUUGUUUCACUGCUCGCACCAUUAAAAGUAUAUCAAUUAUAGACUGAAUUCCGAUAUAGUUUUGUCUAAUAUCACUGGUGCCAGCAGUGCCGCACUAUUUUGUAAGGCAUGCACUGGCCAAUCAUGUAGCACUUCUCAUAAAUAUUAAUGAGACAUCACCUACCAACCCUGCUAAAUGGAAAGUUGCCGCCCGCCACGCGUACGAGGUAACAUGGCUGCGUCUACCAGCAGACCUCCAGAGCCUCUGAAGAAACACGCAGCAAAGAAGUCUCGUACAUGGUCUUUCAAAGUUUGGGAAUACUUCAGUCAUGACACCUUUUCUGCACCUCCACUUUAGCUGACAUUAAUGAUGCUGUUUCAGCCAUUUUACAUUUUCUGUUUACUUAUUCCGUCAUGUAAGAGUGAGACAAAUUAUCGUGUACCUCUUACACACCGUAGCCUAAAUCGUUCCUUGCUCACUGAAGUAAGCUUAACUAUAAGCUACCUUUGCUAGUGUUUGUUAAAAACAUGUUUCUCUAGUUAUGAAAUCAUUCCAUGUUUUAGCAUCUACUUCAACAUUAAAGUCAAAUUUGUGUACUGAAAUAAUCAAGUAAACACUAUUGCAAUGAUUAACUUCAGUCACCAAGUAUUAAAGUAUGUGUUCUAAGGGAUCAAAUAUUUAUUUCCCUAAAUAAAUGACAAAUUGGUUUGCAACUGUUACAUAAUGAUUGUUUCUUGCUUGUUUUGUUAAUAAUCUAUCUUUUGCUGUUUAAAUAAACAUACCAGUGAAAUUA